UGUCCUAGCGGCGAACGGGUGAGUAACACGUGGGCAACCUGCCCCUAGCACUGGGAUAACCCCGGGAAACCGGGGCUAAUACCGGAUACGACAAGAGAAGGCAUCUCCUCUUGUGGAAAGGGUUUCUGGCUAGGGAUGGACCCGCGGCCUAUCAGCUUGUUGGUGGGGUAAUGGCCUACCAAGGCGACGACGGGUAGCCGGCCUGAGAGGGCGACCGGCCACACUGGGACUGAGACGCGGCCCAG
This 245-nucleotide ribosomal RNA is filed under the name uncultured bacterium. RNAcentral's name for it is "partial 16S ribosomal RNA". It matches the Rfam family "Bacterial small subunit ribosomal RNA", at positions 88 to 334 of the family's 1533-position model. The record is from RNAcentral.